Molecule: non-coding RNA, 65 nt
Organism: Dipodomys ordii (Ord's kangaroo rat)
Lineage: Eukaryota; Metazoa; Chordata; Mammalia; Rodentia; Heteromyidae
Source: Rfam
GGUGGCUCAAUGGUAGAGUGCUUGCCUUGCAUGCAUGAGGCCCUGGGUUUGAUUCCCCAGCACCA